This 440-nucleotide ribosomal RNA is filed under the name uncultured bacterium. RNAcentral describes it as "partial 16S ribosomal RNA". It matches the Rfam family "Bacterial small subunit ribosomal RNA", at positions 338 to 795 of the family's 1533-position model. The record is from RNAcentral.
CCUACGGGAGGCAGCAGUGGGGGAUAUUGCACAAUGGGGGAAACCCUGAUGCAGCGACGCCGCGUGUGGGAAGACGGUCCUCUGGAUUGUAAACCACUGUCCCCAGGGACGAAGAUGACGGUACCUGGGGAGGAAGCUCCGGCUAACUACGUGCCAGCAGCCGCGGUAAUACGUAGGGAGCGAGCGUUGUCCGGAAUUACUGGGUGUAAAGGGAGCGUAGGCGGUGAUGCAAGUUGGGUGUAAAAACUACCGGCUCAACUGGUAGUCGCACUCAAAACUGCAGGUCUUGAGUGAAGUAGAGGCAGGCGGAAUUCCUGGUGUAGCGGUGAAAUGCGUAGAUAUCAGGAGGAACACCGGUGGCGAAGGCGGCCUGCUAGACUGCAACUGACGUUGAGGCCCGAAAGCGUGGGGAGCAAACAGGAUUAGAUACCCGAGUAGUC